AAUCCAUGUAUAGGACACUCCCACAAAAAAUCUUUAAAUCUUUCCUAUGUUGCAUACAAGCUUUCAUCGCCCAUCUGCUUAAAUGAAGUUAAAUCUUUUCAAAGCU
Hibiscus syriacus is the source of this 106-nucleotide small nucleolar RNA. Lineage: Eukaryota; Viridiplantae; Streptophyta; Magnoliopsida; Malvales; Malvaceae. The record is from RefSeq and is a predicted model, not a curated record.